RNAcentral lists this ribosomal RNA (2004 nucleotides) under Escherichia coli. Its description in RNAcentral is "partial 23S ribosomal RNA". It matches the Rfam family "Bacterial large subunit ribosomal RNA", at positions 344 to 2336 of the family's 2925-position model. The record is from RNAcentral. Lineage: Bacteria; Pseudomonadati; Pseudomonadota; Gammaproteobacteria; Enterobacterales; Enterobacteriaceae.
GGAAAGGCGCGCGAUACAGGGUGACAGCCCCGUACACAAAAAUGCACAUGCUGUGAGCUCGAUGAGUAGGGCGGGACACGUGGUAUCCUGUCUGAAUAUGGGGGGACCAUCCUCCAAGGCUAAAUACUCCUGACUGACCGAUAGUGAACCAGUACCGUGAGGGAAAGGCGAAAAGAACCCCGGCGAGGGGAGUGAAAAAGAACCUGAAACCGUGUACGUACAAGCAGUGGGAGCACGCUUAGGCGUGUGACUGCGUACCUUUUGUAUAAUGGGUCAGCGACUUAUAUUCUGUAGCAAGGUUAACCGAAUAGGGGAGCCGAAGGGAAACCGAGUCUUAACUGGGCGUUAAGUUGCAGGGUAUAGACCCGAAACCCGGUGAUCUAGCCAUGGGCAGGUUGAAGGUUGGGUAACACUAACUGGAGGACCGAACCGACUAAUGUUGAAAAAUUAGCGGAUGACUUGUGGCUGGGGGUGAAAGGCCAAUCAAACCGGGAGAUAGCUGGUUCUCCCCGAAAGCUAUUUAGGUAGCGCCUCGUGAAUUCAUCUCCGGGGGUAGAGCACUGUUUCGGCAAGGGGGUCAUCCCGACUUACCAACCCGAUGCAAACUGCGAAUACCGGAGAAUGUUAUCACGGGAGACACACGGCGGGUGCUAACGUCCGUCGUGAAGAGGGAAACAACCCAGACCGCCAGCUAAGGUCCCAAAGUCAUGGUUAAGUGGGAAACGAUGUGGGAAGGCCCAGACAGCCAGGAUGUUGGCUUAGAAGCAGCCAUCAUUUAAAGAAAGCGUAAUAGCUCACUGGUCGAGUCGGCCUGCGCGGAAGAUGUAACGGGGCUAAACCAUGCACCGAAGCUGCGGCAGCGACGCUGAUGCGUUGUUGGGUAGGGGAGCGUUCUGUAAGCCUGCGAAGGUGUGCUGUGAGGCAUGCUGGAGGUAUCAGAAGUGCGAAUGCUGACAUAAGUAACGAUAAAGCGGGUGAAAAGCCCGCUCGCCGGAAGACCAAGGGUUCCUGUCCAACGUUAAUCGGGGCAGGGUGAGUCGACCCCUAAGGCGAGGCCGAAAGGCGUAGUCGAUGGGAAACAGGUUAAUAUUCCUGUACUUGGUGUUACUGCGAAGGGGGGACGGAGAAGGCUAUGUUGGCCGGGCGACGGUUGUCCCGGUUUAAGCGUGUAGGCUGGUUUUCCAGGCAAAUCCGGAAAAUCAAGGCUGAGGCGUGAUGACGAGGCACUACGGUGCUGAAGCAACAAAUGCCCUGCUUCCAGGAAAAGCCUCUAAGCAUCAGGUAACAUCAAAUCGUACCCCAAACCGACACAGGUGGUCAGGUAGAGAAUACCAAGGCGCUUGAGAGAACUCGGGUGAAGGAACUAGGCAAAAUGGUGCCGUAACUUCGGGAGAAGGCACGCUGAUAUGUAGGUGAAGUCCCUCGCGGAUGGAGCUGAAAUCAGUCGAAGAUACCAGCUGGCUGCAACUGUUUAUUAAAAACACAGCACUGUGCAAACACGAAAGUGGACGUAUACGGUGUGACGCCUGCCCGGUGCCGGAAGGUUAAUUGAUGGGGUCAGCGCAAGCGAAGCUCUUGAUCGAAGCCCCGGUAAACGGCGGCCGUAACUAUAACGGUCCUAAGGUAGCGAAAUUCCUUGUCGGGUAAGUUCCGACCUGCACGAAUGGCGUAAUGAUGGCCAGGCUGUCUCCACCCGAGACUCAGUGAAAUUGAACUCGCUGUGAAGAUGCAGUGUACCCGCGGCAAGACGGAAAGACCCCGUGAACCUUUACUAUAGCUUGACACUGAACAUUGAGCCUUGAUGUGUAGGAUAGGUGGGAGGCUUUGAAGUGUGGACGCCAGUCUGCAUGGAGCCGACCUUGAAAUACCACCCUUUAAUGUUUGAUGUUCUAACGUUGACCCGUAAUCCGGGUUGCGGACAGUGUCUGGUGGGUAGUUUGACUGGGGCGGUCUCCUCCUAAAGAGUAACGGAGGAGCACGAAGGUUGGCUAAUCCUGGUCGGAC